Molecule: ribosomal RNA, 406 nt
Filed under: uncultured bacterium
Lineage: Bacteria
Description: partial 16S ribosomal RNA
Rfam family: Bacterial small subunit ribosomal RNA
Source: RNAcentral
AUUGAACGCUGGCGGCGUGCCUAACACAUGCAAGUCGAACGCGUGGCGGACGGGUGAGACAUGUCUGGGAACCUGCCUUAUGGAGGGGGUUAACUACUGGAAACGGUAGCUAAUACCGCAUACCUUCGGAUGUUCCCUGAUGGGAUUAGCUAGUAGCUGGGGUAACGGCUCACCAAGGAGACGAUCCCUAGCUGGUCUGAGAGGAUGACCAGCCACACUGGAACUGAGACACGGUCCAGACUCCUACGGGAGGCAGCAGUGGGGAAUAUUGCGCAAUGGGCGAAAGCCUGAUACAGCCAUGCCGCGUGUGUGAAGAAGGUCUUCGGGUUGUAAAGUACUGUCAGCGGGGAGGCGUUACCCGCAGAAGAAGCACCGGCUAACUCCGUGCCAGCAGCCGCGGUAAUUC